UCCGGUUUGUCACCGGCAGUCUCACUAGAGUGCCCAACUAAAUGUAGCAACUAAUGACAAGGGUUGCGCUCGUUGCGGGACUUAACCCAACAUCUCACGACACGAGCUGACGACAACCAUGCACCACCUGUAUACGAGUGUCCAAAGAGUUCUUCAUUUCUGAAGCGUUCUCGUAUAUGUCAAGCCUUGGUAAGGUUCUUCGCGUUGCAUCGAAUUAAACCACAUGCUCCACCGCUUGUGCAGGCCCCCGUCAAUUUCUUUGAGUUUUAACCUUGCGGCCGUACUCCCCAGGCGGAUGACUUAACGCUUUCGCUCAGACGCGUACAGUGUAUCGCACACAUCGAGUGAUCAUCGUUUAGGGCGUGGACUAC
This 371-nucleotide unclassified non-coding RNA is filed under the name uncultured bacterium. RNAcentral describes it as "contains 16S-23S intergenic spacer region". The record is from RNAcentral.